GGUACAGACCGGGGGGUGACGGACACGUACGGUUCUGGGUUCUUCUCCCCCACUAGUCUACCUCCGCCGCCCAGCCGCACCACACGACGCUCCCCAUCGCCCCCGCCGCACACGCCGCCUUGAUCCCUCCUCCCCCCAGGCCCAUGCCGGAGCCGCCUCCUUCCCCCAUGUUGUGCCGCCGCCGCCUGGUUCCAGAUCUGAAGGUUGGAUUUUGCGCGGUGGACCAACGGCGCGUCCAUCCCCAAGGGCCCCUGGCCAUGGCAGUCGUCGUUCAUGUCCACCUCCACUACCAUUACCCCCCUCCUCUGCCCGUCGCCUCGCCAACCCGGCCUCUUAACCUCGCCAUGGCGCUCCCCCCACCCCCGCGCUCCUGACUACCCACCUGCGCCCCCCCUCCCCGCCUACACCUGCCACCUCGCCGUCACCAGCACAGAUGAGCGGGAGGCAGAUGAGGAGUUUGUGGUGGUCACAUACAAUCUGGUGCCCGUCGACGACCCCCGCGCACCACUCCACUUCCUGCAGAACAAUCACUUAUUCAGGUACUUGGAUGCUUGGAUGCUUUUCAGGCUUCUCCGGCAUUAACCGGGCAUGCUCUCCAGUACGAACAAUCACUUAUUCAGAUCAUACACUGACACUCUUGACUGUACAACAAUAAUCUGCGGCACGGGCAGCCGAAGCGGACGAAGUGGCUGGUCCUGCGAGUGGCGGUGGUGGUCGCCUACGUGGCGCAGGCGGGCGGCGGGUGUCGCCCCCGUGGCAGCAGCGCAGGUGGGCGGUGGCGUUGGGCCCGACGGUGGAUGCGUUGGUCGCUCCUGUGGGUGACGGUGGUCGAGCUGCGCAGGUGGCCGGAGGUGGUCGCCUCCGUGGCGGCGAUGCAGGUGGGCGGCGGCGUUGGACCCGAUGGUGGCUCACGCGGGCGGCGGUGUUGGACGAUUUUUUUUUGUUGUUGCAAAAAUCACAAUGAACUACGUCUGCGACAAGCUUUUCUUUAGUUUUUAUGUCUUGACUCAUACUCGUAUCAUGUUUUUAAUUUAUUUAGUUGAACGAGAAACCGAAUCAGUAUUUCUAUCUAUUAUCCUUUAUUGCAUUCACCUGACAUGUGGGGAUGGCUGACGCAGGGGCGUCCAAACAAACUAGCUGUACCACGUGACCAGGUACAGGUCUAGAGUACAAGUGCGUCAGAGCCCUUAACAGAGCCAACGUCCGUCCGCUCCCCCGUCAGGAAUCGUCUGUACGUACGCCGUGCGCCUGCACUGUAUAAAUCUUUUUCAAUUCCUGUAUUUCUCCGACAGUGACCUGCAGCACAGAUCUGAAUGCUUGUCUGGGC
Molecule: RNA transcript, 1327 nt
Organism: Triticum aestivum (bread wheat)
Lineage: Eukaryota; Viridiplantae; Streptophyta; Magnoliopsida; Poales; Poaceae
Exons: 3
Source: RefSeq, a predicted model, not a curated record